Molecule: ribosomal RNA, 252 nt
Filed under: uncultured bacterium
Lineage: Bacteria
Description: partial 16S ribosomal RNA
Rfam family: Bacterial small subunit ribosomal RNA
Source: RNAcentral
UACGAAGGGUGCAAGCGUUACUCGGAAUUACUGGGCGUAAAGCGUGCGUAGGUGGUUGUUAAGUCUGCUGUGAAGCCCGGGCUCAACCUGGGAAUGGCAGUGGAUACUGGCAAGCUAGAGUGCGGUAGAGGGUAGUGGAAUUCCCGGUGUAGCGGUGAAAUGACGUAGAGAUCGGGAGGAACACCAGUGGCGAAGGCGGCUACCUGGACCAGCACUGACACUCAGGCACGAAAGCGUGGGGAGCAAAGCAGG